AGGGAACUGAGAGAAGCCACAGGCACCUGAGCAGGAGGCAUAGGAGGCAGAAGCUGUCCAUCCCUGGCUCUGCCUCUUAGGAUCCUGUGUUAGCUGCAGCCAUGUACCUGCCAGGGACCAGAGAGGAGGAGGAGGAUGACGGUGAUGACUAUGAGAAUAUGGCGCCACCCUACAAGGACCUUCCUCCCAAGCCAGAUUCAAUGGCUCCACCCAGGCCUCCGAGGGCAGGUGAGCUGGGGCUGGGGGUACAGGAAACCAGUGCUGGCUUUGUCCUGCUCUGGGCCUGAGCAACCAUUCUUCCCCCUCCCCCCCAGGAAAUAAAACGGAGAACCCCCCACUUCCCUGCAAGUCCCCAAAGAUCAAAGGUGAGAAUCUAGGGCUGGGGUCUUUUUGGCUUACCUGGAUGAAGCCCUGGUCUGCAUAACCAUUGUCUUUCUGACAUCUUCUAGGCCUGGACCUCACCCCUGUCCCCCGAACAUCUCAACUGGGUGAGCAGUAGGAAGACUUUUUAAGAAGCCUGAGAGGAGACACCUGGAAGUCUUCCCUCCAGUUCCCCAAUUCUGAUUAGAGAACAAAUCAGAUGGGAUGAGGGAGGUGUUGAUCUUGGAAGACAGUCUUUCAGCAGCUUUUUUCCCCCAGCAACUUUGAAUCAACCUUUUCCCCCCUUUCUCCCAGGUGUCAGUCUGGAGCAUCCUCCGUUCCAGCCAUCCCUAGCUAGUAAGUCCUCAUGUCCUCCCUGUGGAUCCCUAUCUUCCCUCUCAUGGUCGCAUGUAUGCUUG
This 779-nucleotide long non-coding RNA is filed under the name Mustela putorius furo (domestic ferret). Its description in RNAcentral is "lncRNA (ENSMPUG00000030314.1)". Lineage: Eukaryota; Metazoa; Chordata; Mammalia; Carnivora; Mustelidae. The record is from RNAcentral.